This 402-nucleotide ribosomal RNA is filed under the name uncultured bacterium. RNAcentral's name for it is "bacterial SSU rRNA". It matches the Rfam family "Bacterial small subunit ribosomal RNA", at positions 355 to 774 of the family's 1533-position model. The record is from RNAcentral.
UGGGGAAUCUUGCACAAUGGGGGCAACCCUGAUGCAGCGACGCCGCGUGAGCGAUGAAGCCCUUCGGGGCGUAAAGCUCUUUCGACCGGAACGAUAAUGACGGUACCGGGAGAAGAAGCUGCGGCUAACUACGUGCCAGCAGCCGCGGUAAUACGUAGGCAGCAAGCGUUGUUCGGAGUUACUGGGCGUAAAGAGUGCGUAGGCGGUUUUCUAAGUUCGGUGUGAAAUCUCCCGGCUUAACUGGGAGGGUGCGCCGAAGACUGGGAAGCUGGAGUGUGGGAAAGGCAGGCGGAAUUCCUGGUGUAGCGGCGAAAUGCGUAGAUAUCAGGAGGAACACCGGCGGUGUAGACGGCUUGCUAGACCAUAACUGACGCUGAGGCACGAAAGCGUGGGUAGCAAACA